UGGUUCUGGCAUNGAUGAAGAACGCAGCGAAAUGCGAUAAGUAAUGUGAAUUGCAGAAUUCAGUGAAUCAUCGAAUCUUUGAACGCACAUUGCACCCCUUGGUACUCUGGGGGGUAUGCCUGUCCGAGCGUCAUUACAACCCUCAAGCACUGCUUGGCAUCUGGGCCACAUCCACCGCGUGGGUAGACCCAAAAAUCAUAGAGAGUGAUAAACAAGCCUCUUGCGCAGUAAGACAUCUUGGUCCCGCCUGGGGUCUGUGCAUCACUCGGUCUGUGUGCCCCGGGCACGCACAUGUCAAAUAGUUGACCUCGGAUCAGGUAGGGAUACCCGCUGA
This 334-nucleotide unclassified non-coding RNA is filed under the name uncultured fungus. RNAcentral's name for it is "partial contains 5.8S ribosomal RNA and internal transcribed spacer 2". The stretch from base 1 to 133 matches the Rfam family "5.8S ribosomal RNA", at positions 22 to 154 of the family's 154-position model. The record is from RNAcentral. Lineage: Eukaryota; Fungi.